GAAUCUCUUAUUUAACCUGACACUUUAAGAUUACUUUAACAUACUUUAACAUUACAAAGACGUAAUAUAUUACCAGCAUGAUUAGCCUGCUGUUCGAAUCGUAAAAAUAGCACAAUGUAAGCUCUGCUAGUACAGGCUAGCUGAAAAUAUCUUAAUGAUUAUACAGAGACGACACAUAAAACUUGUAACCUUUCUCGAGUUUGCACAUCUGGACAAUUCUUCACAAAUCACAGGUUGUAAAUUUGGGUAAAUUCAGCAAACAACCGAGUACAUUUGAGCGAUUCUGCCGUCAAUCCGUUUUAAAUAUCCCGUACCGGAAACUGAAUAGCAGCCUUGAGUCAAACGCGGAAGUUAAGCGUGCAUAGAGUCCAUAUGCAGAUUCUUGAGUAAGAAUUUCUCUCAGACAAUAUAGACUCAGAUGGCUUCAUGGUUGACCAUAUUUGUAGUUUAACAAUUUCUAUCAUGUUAAAGUUCUCACACAAAAAUUGCUAGUCUAAGAAUUCUACAAGAAACCUUGUUCCCCACAAAGGCUUGAUGGGUUGUGCAACUUACCUGCUUCCCUUUACAACUCCAGUGAGUGUCUCUAAGGUAGAUCCUAAUGCAGAUGGAUGGAAUGUUGAUCCGCCUAACAUGCAAGAUUUUCUGUACCGAGAACUUUGGAUGACCAUCAAGACGAGCACUCGUUUUGAGUCCUGAGACCCUGGGGUGACCACCGUGAACAAAUACAGACUGCAAAAAGGCAGUCUUGACGGUUCUAGGAUGAAUGCAAAUAAAGACUGACCACCUGACUUCAGCGGUCCAGUCUCUUGUGGGAAGCAGGUGUUUGUUACCCCAAAUACGGAUGAAGAGUGACGAAGAGGAUGAUGACUU
Non-coding RNA from Misgurnus anguillicaudatus (oriental weatherfish), 870 nucleotides. Lineage: Eukaryota; Metazoa; Chordata; Actinopteri; Cypriniformes; Cobitidae. The record is from RefSeq and is a predicted model, not a curated record.